UGUGUAGAGAAUGAGAAUAUUUAUGAUCUACCAUCUUAGUAAAUUCCAAGUAUACAUUGUACAAAUAUAUGUACAUACAAAUAAUACAUUAUUAUUAACUAUGGUCAUAGACCUCUAGGUCAUUUGUAUGUCCUCUUUGGAAAAAUGUCUAUUCAGAUCCUUUGCAUUUUUAAAUUGGGUUAUUUGCUUUUUUUUUUUUUUUUUGGCUCUUGACUUGUAUGAGUUCCCUAUGUAUUUUGGACAUUAGCCCCUUAUGUGAUAUAGGAUUUGCAAAUGUUUCCCCUCAUUUUGUCUCAGGUUGUUUCCACUCUGUCAAUUGUUUCCUACACAGAAGCUUUUUUAGUUUGAUGCAAUCCCAUUUCUCUAUUUUUGCUUUCCUUGCCUGUGCUUCUAGUGUCACAUCCAAAAAUCAUUGCCAAGACCA
This 424-nucleotide long non-coding RNA is filed under the name Homo sapiens (human). RNAcentral describes it as "non-protein coding lnc-ACP1-14:1". Lineage: Eukaryota; Metazoa; Chordata; Mammalia; Primates; Hominidae. The record is from RNAcentral.